AUUGAACGCUGGCGGUAUGCUUAACACAUGCAAGUCGAACGGCAGCACAGUAUGUAGCAAUACAUAUGGGUGGCGAGUGGCGGACGGGUGAGUAACGCGUAGGAAUCUACCCUAAAGCGGGGGACAACCCGAGGAAACUCGGGCUAAUACCGCAUAAUCUCGAAAGAGUAAAGCUGGGGCAACCUGGCACUUUAGGAGGAGCCUGCGUCCGAUUAGCUAGUUGGUGAGGUAAAGGCUCACCAAGGCGAUGAUCGGUAGCUGGUCUGAGAGGAUGAUCAGCCACACUGGGACUGCGACACGGCCCAGACUCCUACGGGAGGCAGCAGUGGGGAAUAUUGGACAAUGGGGGCAACCCUGAUCCAGCAAUACCGCGUGUGUGAAGAAGGCCUUAGGGUUGUAAAGCACUUUAGUUGGGGAAGAAGGAUAGUUGUUUAAGAGGUGAUUAUUUUGACGGUACCCAAAGAAUAAGCACCGGCUAACUCUGUGCCAGCAGCCGCGGUAA
This 502-nucleotide ribosomal RNA is filed under the name uncultured bacterium. RNAcentral's name for it is "partial 16S ribosomal RNA". It matches the Rfam family "Bacterial small subunit ribosomal RNA", at positions 30 to 523 of the family's 1533-position model. The record is from RNAcentral.